This 395-nucleotide unclassified non-coding RNA is filed under the name Ocellochloa stolonifera. Its description in RNAcentral is "partial external transcribed spacer". Lineage: Eukaryota; Viridiplantae; Streptophyta; Magnoliopsida; Poales; Poaceae. The record is from RNAcentral.
CCGGGAGGACCCCCGCCAUUGUGCGGCCGACUGCCGGCGCCUGUGUCCCUUCAACUGUUGGAGCAAUAUGCCCUAAAUGUUACACGAGUGCUUGUGUGCUGCUACCGGUUGAUAGGAAGGUGCGUUUGACAAAUGAUGACUGCGACGUGCCCGUCCAAGUGGCGUGGCACGUUGAGUGGAAAGCACUCACGGUUUUGCCUCAUGUAGCUAGCCUAGCCUAUGCUAGCUUCAUCAAGUCCACCUCGUGUUUGCUAUUGGUCCUGGAUGCUGCAAGCGACAAAGGCCGAGUGCGCYUAGGCGUCUCGUGCCUAGCAAAGAUCGUUCGAUCGGAAACAACGACAGCCGGCCUGGYUGAAGCCUCGUGCCGAGGCUAGCGUCGGCUCGUCGAUGAGGAC